This 267-nucleotide ribosomal RNA is filed under the name uncultured bacterium. RNAcentral describes it as "partial 16S ribosomal RNA". It matches the Rfam family "Bacterial small subunit ribosomal RNA", at positions 524 to 790 of the family's 1533-position model. The record is from RNAcentral.
UACGGAGGAUCCAAGCGUUAUCCGGAAUCAUUGGGUUUAAAGGGUCCGUAGGCGGUUUGGUAAGUCAGUGGUGAAAGCCCAUCGCUCAACGGUGGAACGGCCAUUGAUACUGCCAGACUUGAAUUAUUAGGAAGUAACUAGAAUAUGUAGUGUAGCGGUGAAAUGCUUAGAGAUUACAUGGAAUACCAAUUGCGAAGGCAGGUUACUACUAAUGGAUUGACGCUGAUGGACGAAAGCGUGGGUAGCGAACAGGAUUAGAUACCCCUC